UUUUUUGUGCUUCUUAUUUCCCUUGCUUAUGGUUUUCUGAUUUAUUUUUUAAUCUUUAAUGUUUUGGGUCUUUCGAAGGUGGAGAUUAUUUCUAAUUACUUACAUACAUGAACAAACCAAAAGGACCGAAUUAAGAAAUAUUCCUGAGAUGUUGACUGUUGGUUCAGAUAAUUUGUGUCAACAACUAUUAUUAAUUUUUAUGCUCUCUUCAUCGAAUUCUGAACAGAUUUCUGUACUCACUUCUGGUAGUCUUUCUUCAUGUUCUCUUUUCAGAUUCUGCACAUGCAUGUGAAUAGAACAACUAUGCAAGAGUACACAUAGUGUUGUACCCAGGGUGUUUGAUGAUAUGCCUCAAGCUUUUGAAGUGAAAGUCGCUCAAGGUGGGGAAAAACGGAACUGCUUUGACUAUAAAAGGUUUUAAGUCUCAAAAGAACGACAUUCACGCUCAAUGUGAGGUUUGAAAACAUUGACAAGAAGCUUAUUUGGUUUGAAAACAUUGACAAGAAGCUUAUUUCUUUUGCCAGUCGGAUAUGUGCUCUCAAUCGUAAUUUUUCACUUAGUAAUGAUUAUUGAUUUGCUGGUGAGGUUAAAUACUCUUCCCAUCAUUUUUGUUAUUGUUUCUUGUAUUGAGAUUUUAAUUGAUGAGAAGUGUCCUUUUAUAAUUCUUCUCGGCUUUGCAGCUUAAAGAAGUGGAGAUCUUUUCAGUGAGAAAUUACAUUGGCAUUACAGCAAUGAGUAGUAUUCCUUUCGUAAGGUUCUUUCAUUAUGGAUUUUAUACCAAUUGGGGGUUGAUGCUCCACAUUAUUAGUAUGAGAUAAAUUUUAAAAUAUCCAUCUUUAUCAUAGUAAAGAUGGUUCUAUCUGAAGGUAUUCCAGCUAUUCAUUCCACCAUUUGGAGAAAUUUGCCGAGGGUAGUCAAUUCCUGAGUUAUUACAUUUAAUACAAAUUAUAUCCGACAAUUUACGGAGAUUCUAUUGCAGCUUAUUUGUCUAACUUUCUGUUGACAAGAAAAUUGGAUAAAACUGUAGCUUUUCGGAAAUCAGUAGAUAUUUCCCUUGUGAUAUCUUCUUAAUUUAGUACUAAUUCUUUCAACAAAAUCUUGAUAAAUUGUCGUAUGUCUCCUACUUCCAGGUGAUUUAGUUUCUUUUGUGAGAUCUUUCAACUUGCAUAUGAUUUGAAAGAUGUAGAAUUCUUUGAUGUUACUGCUAAAUUUGCAGUUAAAGAUAAAGGCUAUUGAAACUCAAGGAUUCGGGGGCUGUAGGCCAACUUGUAACUUGGCUCAAAUGGAGAAAGGAAUGUUGAUAUGAACACAGUCGGACAAACCUUAUGAUGGAGUAAGAUCCUUUUUCUCUUGAACCUUUUGCCGCUCCUAGGCUUCAAAAUUGUGAUCUGCAUCACCCAUAUAAUAUUAGCUACCCUUUAACUAAGAUCUGAUCUAAUUAUUCUGUUGGGAAGUUCCUGCGAGUAACUGUUUCUUUAUUCUUCUAUAUCGUUGUACCAGUAUGAACAAGAUGUGUGUGUCUGACUCUGCUUGAGUUAUAUAUUGUCUUUUGUGAUUGGGAGCUUGAACAUGGUUCACAUAUAUUUUGUAUUUGCUCUUUACUUCCAGAACUUUGAAGAAAAAGAGGUAAAGUAAUAAGGAUAAGUUAAAAGUAAAUUUAUAAAAUUUAGCCAAUUAUUUUCGAGCAUUAUAACAAGGAUAAUUCAAAGAAUAAGUUGCAUGUACUUUAACUAUUUGAAGUAGAAGUAAUAAGUUACUAUCUGAAACAUUCAAAACAAUUUGAAACAGAUGUUAUUUGUUAAAAUUCAUUUAAAUUAUGCUUAUAAUCCUACUUUGCAUAUGGCAUCUUUUUGGUGGUGCUUAUUUUUUACGGACUUCUAAGUUAAUGUUUAUAUUCAGAUUACAUGGUUAUCAAUAAGACUUGAGCUAUGUGAUUAUGGCUCCGAAAGUAUGAUCGUUUGCUUAUCCACGUUACCACGAGAAGUAUUUUUCCUUCUCUUUUUUAUCUAUUUUCAUCAUAGAUUCAACUAUUUCUGUCAGAUUCAUCAAUUAAAAGCAUUUUGAUGAUCCAAGCUUAUUAGAUAUGUCUACAAUUUGACAGUACUUUCAAAGUUAUUGUACUCAAGAUGCAUCAUGAACUUAAACCUUAAUUCAACAAAUAGCACCUGUUUGAUGAAAUCUCUCAUUCAGAAUAACAACCGGAAGUCUCAAAUUGUGCAACACUAUCCAGCCUAACAUUUGUUUUUUGAAGAUGACAUAUUCAUGAACUGGUGUAUCACAAGAAUAAGUGGAGAAUCACAAAUAUAUAAGUUCUCUUAGGUUCAUAGAUGUGCUCAAAUUUGUGAAAUUGCUGGUCCUGAUGCUUCUUUAGUUACUUGCUAAGUUGUUGUAUGUUAAUCUAUGUUUCAAUUGACACUAAUAAAUUGCAAUAGGCUGGUUAUGGGAUGAAUGCAAAGGUUUUCUUUGUGGAGAAGAGUUAAGUCGAAAGUGUUCAUAAUACAUAAGUGAUAGAAUGACUUUUCUGUGUGUUGUUCGCUUUAAGUUUCACACAUUCAUAAUUAUUUUACUUUUUUCAUUUUGUGUGGCUUACUUUCUUGAUUGCUUGAUUAUACCGGACAAUUGAACAAACUUGAAGACACUUUAUGGAACUAUAUUACUAUGCUUUCUACCCGUGCCAAAUUCAAGGAUGCCAUAUUUUUUUUGAGAAAUAGAAGAUUGAAAAUAUAGUAACCAUGUGCAUUUAAUUUUGAAAAUAGCAAUUUGCUUAUUUAUAGUCCUGUUGAAUGUUGAGUACGCUAUAAGUGGUUAUAUCUUGUUAUAGGCUCUCUGUAAAAGACUUUAUACCAAAGGAGGAGCCAUGACUGAAAAUUAUUAGCAGAGUAUCAGAAUUGUUCCUAGGGCUUAUCCGUAGUCUCUAAGGAGGUAAUUGUACCACUAUGUACUAAGGAGUUAGUUAUCUGCAAACCUAAGUAGUGGUAAACUUCUAUUCAUUUCUUUAUUCAAUGCAUGUUCUCAAUGUGUCCAUAUAUAUACAUACAAUGCGCACACCUAGAUUAUGGUUUAAUAACUUUGUGUUUGAUUUAUGCAUAGGAAAAAUAUGUAUAGUAACUUUGUGUUUUGCCUUCACUGCUAAUGGAUGGUUCCAAUAUUAUGAAUCUCAAUGUGUUAAGCCAGCUAUCAUCUAUGGGAAGUAAGCCGUCUGAAACCAAUGACCGUCUUUCGGUCCUCAAUAGCUUAAAGCAUGACCAAUGGGUUGUCAGCUGCUUCAGAAUCGCUAGACAUAUCCCCUUUUCUCAUCUUCUUGUUUUACCUUGGAACUUAUUUUAACUGUACAUGCCUGUAGUGAGCUUAUCUUUGUGGCCUCCAGAUCCACACUCAUACCUGUUACUCCAACUUCAAUAAUUUUAUUUAGUGUUGCCCAAGUUCUAUAAUUGUAGGUUCUAACACUUGUAUCGAAUACUACUACUAUAAAAGAAGGCCCAUCACAACAAAGGUUUGUGGAGUGAUCGACUCUAGAAAAGGAUGCACCUUCUUUUUUCCAAUAUGCAAAUAGGUUUUGUCAUGAAACAAGAACAAGCUGAAGAAUGUAUUAAGCAAGCUUUACAUUGUUGGGAGUGCAUAUUUCAUAA
Long non-coding RNA from Lycium barbarum (goji berry), 3629 nucleotides. RefSeq lists it as uncharacterized. The transcript has 3 exons. The record is from RefSeq and is a predicted model, not a curated record. NCBI's taxonomy places the organism in Eukaryota, Viridiplantae, Streptophyta, Magnoliopsida, Solanales, Solanaceae.